RNAcentral lists this ribosomal RNA (254 nucleotides) under uncultured bacterium. Its description in RNAcentral is "partial 16S ribosomal RNA". It matches the Rfam family "Bacterial small subunit ribosomal RNA", at positions 524 to 776 of the family's 1533-position model. The record is from RNAcentral.
UACAGAGGGUGCAAGCGUUAAUCGGAAUUACUGGGCGUAAAGCGCACGUAGGUGGUUAGAUAAGUUGGAUGUGAAAGCCCUGGGCUCAACCUAGGAAUUGCAUUCAAUACUGUUUGACUAGAGUAUGAUAGAGGAUAGUGGAAUUUCCGGUGUAGCGGUGAAAUGCGUAGAUAUCGGGAGGAACACCAGUGGCGAAGGCGACUACCUGGCCUGUUUCUUGACGCUGAGGCGCGAAAGCUAGGGGAGCAAACGGG